AUGUCAAAAUUAGGCACCCUCUUCACCUUAACUCUUUUAUUAAGCUUGAGUUUAACUUAUGCCUCUCGUCCUAAUCUUGGAUUUAAAGCUGUCUCUUCUCUACAUGAGGAUAUUGUUGGUAGCAAGGUAUCAAGUGUAGAAUUGGAUGAUGAGUCUUGUGAUGGAAUAGGAGGAGAGCAAGAAUGUUUGACAAGAAGGACACUAGUGGCACAUCUUGAUUAUAUCUAUACUCAACAUAAACCCACAAACUAG
Molecule: non-coding RNA, 252 nt
Organism: Vicia faba (fava bean)
Lineage: Eukaryota; Viridiplantae; Streptophyta; Magnoliopsida; Fabales; Fabaceae
Source: the annotation of a GenBank genome assembly